AACGAACGCUGGCGGCAGGCCUAACACAUGCAAGUCGAACGCCGUAGCAAUACGGAGUGGCAGACGGGUGCGUAACACGUGGGAACAUACCCUUUGGUUCGGAAUAACUCAGGGAAACUUGAGCUAAUACCGGAUAAGCCCUUACGGGGAAAGAUUUAUCGCCAAAGGAUUGGCCCGCGUCUGAUUAGCUAGUUGGUGAGGUAACGGCUCACCAAGGCGACGAUCAGUAGCUGGUCGAGAGGAUGAUCAGCCACACUGGGACUGAGACACGGCCCAGACUCCUACGGGAGGCAGCAGUGGGGAAUAUUGGACAAUGGGCGCAAGCCUGAUCCAGCCAUGCCGCGUGAGUGAUGAAGGCCUUAGGGUUGUAAAGCUCUUUUACCCGGGAAGAUAAUGACGGUACCGGGAGAAUAAGCCCCCGGCUAACUUCGUGCCAGCCG
RNAcentral lists this ribosomal RNA (440 nucleotides) under uncultured bacterium. RNAcentral's name for it is "bacterial SSU rRNA". It matches the Rfam family "Bacterial small subunit ribosomal RNA", at positions 29 to 514 of the family's 1533-position model. The record is from RNAcentral.